UCGAUAUUUCUGGUUGAUUUUUGUUGUCGACGUUUGAUUUUUACAUCGUCUUUGUCGUAGUUUGCUUUAGUCCGUGUUUAUUUUUAAGUUUUUCGAUUUGUUCCUAUUUAUCGAUACUACAUAGUUUGAUUUCUUCUUUUUUGUCGUGAUGGUGUCUACGAGGAAGAGCAUGGAGGGAAUGGGGGAUAAGAACCUUGAUAGGAAGAGGAAAAGAGUUUCAGAUGAUUAUU
This 230-nucleotide long non-coding RNA is filed under the name Panax ginseng (ginseng). RNAcentral's name for it is "long non-coding RNA (PGIN_LNC017067)". Lineage: Eukaryota; Viridiplantae; Streptophyta; Magnoliopsida; Apiales; Araliaceae. The record is from RNAcentral.